ACUCAAAGGAAUAGACGGGGGCCCGCACAAGCGGCGGAGCAUGCGGAUUAAUUCGAUGCAACGCGAAGAACCUUACCUGGGUUUGACAUACACCGGAAGCCCCUAGAGAUAGGGGUCUCUUUGAUACUGGUGUACAGGUGGUGCAUGGCUGUCGUCAGCUCGUGUCGUGAGAUGUUGGGUUAAGUCCCGCAACGAGCGCAACCCUCGUUCCAUGUUGCCAGCACGUAAUGGUGGGGACUCAUGGGAGACUGCCGGGGUCAACUCGGAGGAAGGUGGGGAUGACGUCAAGUCAUCAUGCCCCUUAUGUCCAGGGCUUCACGCAUGCUACAAUGGCCGGUACAAAGGGCUGCGAUCCCGUGAGGGGGAGCGAAUCCCAAAAAGCCGGUCUCAGUUCGGAUUGGGGUCUGCAACUCGACCCCAUGAAGUCGGAGUCGCUAGUAAUCGCAGAUCAGCAACGCUGCGGUGAAUACGUUCCCGGGCCUUGCACACACCGCCCGU
RNAcentral lists this ribosomal RNA (498 nucleotides) under uncultured bacterium. RNAcentral's name for it is "partial 16S ribosomal RNA". It matches the Rfam family "Bacterial small subunit ribosomal RNA", at positions 899 to 1397 of the family's 1533-position model. The record is from RNAcentral.